UAAGUACUCCCUCCGUCCCAAAAUACUUGUCGGAGAAAUGAAUAAAAAUGGAUGUAUCUUAGAACUAAAAUAAGUCUAGAUACAUUCAUUCCUCCGACAAGUAUUUCCGGACGGAGGGAGUAAUAU
Non-coding RNA from Triticum aestivum (bread wheat), 126 nucleotides. Lineage: Eukaryota; Viridiplantae; Streptophyta; Magnoliopsida; Poales; Poaceae. The record is from Rfam.